Molecule: long non-coding RNA, 2271 nt
Filed under: Citrus sinensis (sweet orange)
Lineage: Eukaryota; Viridiplantae; Streptophyta; Magnoliopsida; Sapindales; Rutaceae
Description: long non-coding RNA (CSIN_LNC004221)
Source: RNAcentral
CAAUAAUACGUUUUUCACUAAGAAUACAUUUUUCAUUUUCAUGUAUACUCAAAUGCACAAUACAUUUUCCAUAAUACAACUUCUAUUGUAAAACUAAUUUAGGAUCAUUUCUCCAUUAAUUUCCAUCGCCCCAUACGUCUCUGAAAAAACAAAUUAAAAAUAGUAGCAAACUAAAACCCAAAAUAGCAAUAAAUUAACAUAAAUAAUAGCAAAUUAACACAGAAACAGCCAAAAAUUGCAAGAUAUCAAAACCCAAAAAUAGCAAAUAAAUAACUAAAUAAAUAAACCCAAAAUAUCAUAAAAUUAACCCAAAAUAGAAGGGAAUUAACCCAGAAACAGCAGAAAAAAAACUCAAAACCAACAGGAAAUCAAGCCCAAAAAUGGCGAAAAUUAACCCAGAAACAACAGGAAAAAAAGACAAAAAAUAGCAACUGAACAGAAACACAGCAAAAAAUUAUCCUAGAAGCAACAGCAAAACAGCAAAACAGCAAAAAAUAGCAACGAAAGUAGCAGCAAAUCAAUCUCGAAAAAGAAGCAAAUCAACAUAAAGAAUUGCAGCAAACCCAAAAAUAGCAAGAAACAAAGCCAAAGAACAGAAUGUAGUAAAAAAUAUAAACAAAAAAAAUUGCCCAAAAAUAACAACAAAUCAAGCCCCAAAAUAGAAUUGCAGCAAACACAAAAAUAGCAGGAAACAAAGCCAAAAAAGCAUAAUGUAGUAAAAAAAUAUGAACAAAAAAUUUGCCCAAAAACAGCAUAAAAUUUAGGCAGAAACAGAUGUAAAUUUAAUCCGCAGCAAAAUAACCCAGAAACUGCUGAAAAUCAAGCCAAAAAGCAACAAAAAAAUUAUGGAGAAACAACAACAAAUCAAAAACAAAACUGCACGUAUGACUUAGAAUUUUUCUAAAAAACGUGUCUGUGGCUUGGCUUGUACAAAAGAUAUUUUACAUAAACUACGUGUGAUGAAUCUCAAAAUUUUCAACUCCAUAUAACACAAUAUAAGAGCAAACAAAUUUAUUAUAGAUCCCGUAAGCUUAAAUUAUAAUUCAUAAAAUUGCAACAAGGCAUUGUAACACCAACACAAAACUAGAUAUCAGGAGUGAAUUUUAAUGAUCUCCAACUAAACUUGACUCUAGUUCAAAUAGUUCAAAGAACAUUCUGAUUGAAUAGAUAUGCAAGAAUGAAUAUUAAUUUUACCAGCAGGGCAUUUACAAGACCACAAGUAUACAGUUUGAAGAAUUGAGACUUAGACUUCCACACAACCUAAAUAUUGUUGGAUAAAAAUGACAGAGAAAAUAAAAUUAUCAUACUAAAAUAACAAAUGUAAUUUUUUUGUCUGAGAACCCAAUUACGCUAAGUUACACCCAUCACGCAUAUCCAGAUAAGGCUCCACCAUUAGAAAAGUAGUUGUGAACAAUGCUCUUUGGGAAACUACAGGAUCUUACACAUUUAAUUUCUGUAAAGGAUUCCCUAAACAUUACCAACUAGGCAUUUACACUACCACAACAGGCAUGCAGUUUGAAGAAAUGAGAGUUAGACUUCCACAAUGUAAAUAUUGUUGGACAACGGUAGAACCAUCUCCAAGAUUUACGAAGGACAACAUAUAAUUAACAAUAGCAAGAGUGUUUGGAUGAAUCUAAACCUUACAAUUAGAAAUGACAUGUUAACGUUAGAAUAAAAGGAAUUUAUAAAUUAUUUUAGUAGUGCAUUAAACUCAAGAUGCAAUACCUCUCUGACUUCAUCUUCUGUGCUUCUACCAUAUGCAUCUUCACCACUCGGUUGAUUAAAUGAGUGACACACCGGCUGAACUGGUUGUUUCGAACGAUGGGCUACCUGUCCUUGCCUUUCUCUUACGAAUUUAAGUAGAAUCUAACCAACGAAGAACUUAACUUUGAAAUCGACGAGGAAGGACCGGUCAUCGGAGAUGAAAUAGAGGUGGCGACCUCCCAAGCAGUAUCGAUUUGUUGAAACUCAACGAGACACUGAUUCACUGCCAUACAGUUACAUAGUCCAUCCGCAUCAAAAGACCCUUGGUUUGUAGAAAAUUCGGUGGCGGAUUUUGCAGAGGAUGGUCUUGGAGGAGAUGAAACUCCUCUUGCUUACCGUUUUGGGUCUUCUUUUUUAUUUUUUUUUUCAGACAAUUGCAAAUAUUUGUAAUUCAUUUACUAAGAUCCACUACAAAGUCCUCAGAUCUCCAAUACCCACUUCUUUAGGGAGAUCUUUCACUUAACCAAUCACAGUAAAAUGUCUCUAUUUAAAGUUUAGGAAAGGCAC